Molecule: ribosomal RNA, 500 nt
Filed under: uncultured bacterium
Lineage: Bacteria
Description: bacterial SSU rRNA
Rfam family: Bacterial small subunit ribosomal RNA
Source: RNAcentral
AUUGAACGCUGGCGGCGUGCCUAACACAUGCAAGUCGAGCGGCAGCGCGGGAGCAAUCCUGGCGGCGAGCGGCGGACGGGUGAGCAAUAUUUGGGAAUCUGCCUAUUAGUGGGGGACAACCCGGGGAAACUCGGGCUAAUACCGCAUACGCACUACGGUGGAAAGCCGGGGACCGCAAGGCCUGGCGCUAAUAGAUGAGCCCAAAUCGGAUUAGCUAGUUGGUGAGGUAAUGGCUCACCAAGGCUACGAUCCGUAGCUGGUCUGAGAGGACGACCAGCCACACCGGAACUGAGACACGGUCCGGACUCCUACGGGAGGCAGCAGUGGGGAAUAUUGGACAAUGGGCGAAAGCCUGAUCCAGCGACGCCGCGUGGGUGAAGAAGGCCUGCGGGUUGUAAAGCCCUUUCGGUGGGGAAGAAAAGCCUCGACCUAACACGUCGGGGUCUUGACGUAACCCAAAAAAGAAGCACCGGCUAACUCUGUGCCAGCAGCCGCAGUAA